RNAcentral lists this ribosomal RNA (463 nucleotides) under uncultured bacterium. RNAcentral's name for it is "bacterial SSU rRNA". It matches the Rfam family "Bacterial small subunit ribosomal RNA", at positions 8 to 507 of the family's 1533-position model. The record is from RNAcentral.
AGAGUUUGAUCAUGGCUCAGAACGAACGCUGGCGGCAUGCCUAACACAUGCAAGUCGAACGGGAUCCUGGCUUCGGCCAGGUGAGAGUGGCGGACGGGUGAGUAACGCGUGGGAACCUGCCCAUUGGUCUGGGAUAACUGCGGGAAACUGCAGCUAAUACCGGAUGUACCCGAGAGGGGAAAGAUUUAUCGCCGAUGGAGGGGCCCGCGUCAGAUUAGGUAGUUGGUGAGGUAACGGCUCACCAAGCCUACGAUCUGUAGCUGGUCUGAGAGGAUGAUCAGCCACACUGGGACUGAGAUACGGCCCAGACUCCUACGGGAGGCAGCAGUGGGGAAUAUUGGACAAUGGGGGCAACCCUGAUCCAGCAAUGCCGCGUGAGUGAUGAAGGCCUUAGGGUUGUAAAGCUCUUUUACCAGGGACGAUGAUGACGGUACCUGGAGAAUAAGCCCCGGCUAACUUCGUG